Molecule: transfer RNA, 52 nt
Filed under: Candidatus Kerfeldbacteria bacterium RIFCSPLOWO2_01_FULL_48_11
Lineage: Bacteria; Candidatus Kerfeldiibacteriota
Description: tRNA-Ser
Rfam family: tRNA
About the family: Transfer RNA (tRNA) molecules are approximately 80 nucleotides in length. Their secondary structure includes four short double-helical elements and three loops (D, anti-codon, and T loops).
Source: RNAcentral
CGCUUCACUGAUAAUGACGAGGUCGGAGGUUCGAGUCCUCCCGCGCCCACCA